AGAGUUUGAUCAUGGCUCAGGAUGAACGCUGGCGGCGUGCCUAAUACAUGCAAGUCGAACGUGAGCCCUGGUUGCGACUGGGGUGAAAGUGGCGAACGGGUGAGUAACACAUGGCUGACCUGCCCCUCAGAGGGGGAUAACUACUGGAAACGGUAGCUAAUACCCCAUACGCUCGUCUGGGUUAGAGGCCGGGCGAGGAAAGGCGAGAGCUGCUGAGGGAGGGGGCUGUGGCCCAUCAGCUAGUUGGUGGGGUAACGGCCUACCAAGGCGAGGACGGGUAGGGGGCCUGAGAGGGUGACCCCCCACACGGGCACUGAGAGACGGGCCCGACUCCUACGGGAGGCAGCAGUAAGGGAUAUUGCGCGAAUGGGCGAAAGCCUGACGCAGCAACGCCGCGUGCGGGAAGAAGGCCUUCGGGUUGUAAACCGCUUUGAGAGGGGAAGAGGCAGGACGGUACCCUCGGAACAAGUCUCGGCUAACUACGUGCCAGCAGCCGCGGUAAAACGUAGGAGGCGAGCGUUAUCCGGAGUUACUGGGUGUAAAGGGCGUGCAGGCGGCUGAGCAAGUCGUAUGUGAAAGCGCUCAGGCUCAACCGGGCGAGGACAUGCGGGACUGCUCAGCUAGAGGCAGGUAGAGGCGCGUGGAAUUCCGGGUGUAGUGGUGAAAUGCGUAGAGAUCCGGAGGAACACCAGUGGCGAAGGCGGCGCGCUGGGCCUGACCUGACGCUGAGGCGCGAAAGCAUGGGGAGCGAACGGGAUUAGAAACCCCGGUAGUCCAUGCUGUAAACGAUGCGGACUAGGUGUGGCGACGGGAGUUGCCGUGCCGGAGCGAACGUGGUA
This 839-nucleotide ribosomal RNA is filed under the name uncultured Chloroflexota bacterium. RNAcentral's name for it is "bacterial SSU rRNA". It matches the Rfam family "Bacterial small subunit ribosomal RNA", at positions 8 to 862 of the family's 1533-position model. Lineage: Bacteria; Bacillati; Chloroflexota. The record is from RNAcentral.